AAAUUGAAGAGUUUGAUCAUGGCUCAGAUUGAACGCUGGCGGCAGGCCUAACACAUGCAAGUCGAACGGUAACAGGAAGCAGCUUGCUGCUUCGCUGACGAGUGGCGGACGGGUGAGUAAUGUCUGGGAAGCUGCCUGAUGGAGGGGGAUAACUACUGGAAACGGUGGCUAAUACCGCAUAACGUCGCAAGACCAAAGAGGGGGACCUUCGGGCCUCUUGCCAUCAGAUGUGCCCAGAUGGGAUUAGCUUGUUGGUGAGGUAACGGCUCACCAAGGCGACGAUCCCUAGCUGGUCUGAGAGGAUGACCAGCCACACUGGAACUGAGACACGGUCCAGACUCCUACGGGAGGCAGCAGUGGGGAAUAUUGCACAAUGGGCGCAAGCCUGAUGCAGCCAUGCCGCGUGUAUGAAGAAGGCCUUCGGGUUGUAAAGUACUUUCAGCGGGGAGGAAGGUGUUGUGGUUAAUAACCGCAGCAAUUGACGUUACCCGCAGAAGAAGCACCGGCUAACUCCGUGCCAGCAGCCGCGGUAAUACGGAGGGUGCAAGCGUUAAUCGGAAUUACUGGGCGUAAAGCGCACGCAGGCGGUCUGUCAAGUCGGAUGUGAAAUCCCCGGGCUCAACCUGGGAACUGCAUUCGAAACUGGCAGGCUUGAGUCUUGUAGAGGGGGGUAGAAUUCCAGGUGUAGCGGUGAAAUGCGUAGAGAUCUGGAGGAAUACCGGUGGCGAAGGCGGCCCCCUGGACAAAGACUGACGCUCAGGUGCGAAAGCGUGGGGAGCAAACAGGAUUAGAUACCCUGGUAGUCCACGCCGUAAACGAUGUCUACUUGGAGGUUGUGCCCUUGAGGCGUGGCUUCCGGAGCUAACGCGUUAAGUAGACCGCCUGGGGAGUACGGCCGCAAGGUUAAAACUCAAAUGAAUUGACGGGGGCCCGCACAAGCGGUGGAGCAUGUGGUUUAAUUCGAUGCAACGCGAAGAACCUUACCUGGUCUUGACAUCCACGGAAGUUUUCAGAGAUGAGAAUGUGCCUUCGGGAACCGUGAGACAGGUGCUGCAUGGCUGUCGUCAGCUCGUGUUGUGAAAUGUUGGGUUAAGUCCCGCAACGAGCGCAACCCUUAUCCUUUGUUGCCAGCGGUUAGGCCGGGAACUCAAAGGAGACUGCCAGUGAUAAACUGGAGGAAGGUGGGGAUGACGUCAAGUCAUCAUGGCCCUUACGACCAGGGCUACACACGUGCUACAAUGGCGCAUACAAAGAGAAGCGACCUCGCGAGAGCAAGCGGACCUCAUAAAGUGCGUCGUAGUCCGGAUUGGAGUCUGCAACUCGACUCCAUGAAGUCGGAAUCGCUAGUAAUCGUGGAUCAGAAUGCCACGGUGAAUACGUUCCCGGGCCUUGUACACACCGCCCGUCACACCAUGGGAGUGGGUUGCAAAAGAAGUAGGUAGCUUAACCUUCGGGAGGGCGCUUACCACUUUGUGAUUCAUGACUGGGGUGAAGUCGUAACAAGGUAACCGUAGGGGAACCUGCGGUUGGAUCACCUCCUUACCUUAAAGAA
This 1552-nucleotide ribosomal RNA is filed under the name Salmonella enterica. RNAcentral's name for it is "bacterial SSU rRNA". It matches the Rfam family "Bacterial small subunit ribosomal RNA". Lineage: Bacteria; Pseudomonadati; Pseudomonadota; Gammaproteobacteria; Enterobacterales; Enterobacteriaceae. The record is from RNAcentral.